Molecule: ribosomal RNA, 497 nt
Filed under: uncultured bacterium
Lineage: Bacteria
Description: partial 16S ribosomal RNA
Rfam family: Bacterial small subunit ribosomal RNA
Source: RNAcentral
GAUGAACGCUGGCGGCGUGCCUAAUACAUGCAAGUCGAGCGAACAGACGAGGAUCUUGCGCCUCUCACGUGAGCGGCGGACGGGUGAAUCACACGUGUAUACCCUACCUAUAAGACUGGUAUAACUUCGGGAAACCGGAUCUAAUACCGGAUAACAUGCUGAACCGCAUGGUUCGACAGUGAAAUACGGUGGUGCGGGCUCGUAUCGAUGGAUCCGCGUCGCAUUAGCUAGUUGGUAAGUUAAAGGCUUACCAAGGCAACGAUGCGUAACCGACCUGAUAGGGGGAUAGCCCACAUUGGAGGUGGACCAGGGUCAUGAGUCCUACGGGACGCAGCAGAAGGGAAUGGUACGCAAUGGGCGAGAGCAUGACAGAGCAACGCGGCGUGAGUGAAGAAAGUCUUCGGAUCGUAAAACCCUGUUAUUAGUGAAGAACAAAUGUGUAAGUAAACGUGCACGUAUUGACGGUAACUAGUCAGAAAGCCACGGCUAACUACGUG